Molecule: non-coding RNA, 29 nt
Filed under: Mus musculus (house mouse)
Lineage: Eukaryota; Metazoa; Chordata; Mammalia; Rodentia; Muridae
Source: RNAcentral
UGAUAGAUGUGAGCACAUGACUGCCGAGU